RNAcentral lists this ribosomal RNA (451 nucleotides) under uncultured bacterium. Its description in RNAcentral is "bacterial SSU rRNA". It matches the Rfam family "Bacterial small subunit ribosomal RNA", at positions 28 to 318 of the family's 1533-position model. The record is from RNAcentral.
GACGAACGCUGGCGGCGUGCCUAACACAUGCAAGUCGAGCGGAGUUAUCUUUAGCACUGAGCACUCAUCACGCGUUGAAGAAUGCGUAACAGUGACGCCAAGCGUCAUGCAGAAACAACCUUGAUGUUCAAAUGAACGAGGUUUCUGCAUCACGCACAUCAUAGAAUAACACAAUAGUUGGGGCGUGAAGAGUAGAGUGAGAGUGCUGGGUGCUGAAGAUAACUCAGCGGCGGACGGGUGAGUAACGCGUGGGCAACCUGCCUCAUACAGGGGGAUAACACUGGGAAACUAGUGCUAAUACCGCAUAAAGCGUAACCGAGGCAUCUUGGAUACGCCAAAGGAGCAAUCCGGUAUGAGAUGGGCCCGCGUCCGAUUAGCUAGUUGGUGAGGUAACGGCUCACCAAGGCGACGAUCGGUAGCCGAACUGAGAGGUUGAUCGGCCACAUUGGGA